GAUGAACGCUGGCGGCGUGCUUAACACAUGCAAGUCGAACGAAUCACUUUAUUUAAUUUCCUUCGGGACUGAUUAUUGUGUGACUGAUUGGCGGAGGGGUGAGUAACGCGUGGGUAACCUGGGUUGUACAGGGGGAUAACAGUUGUAAACGGCUGCUAAUAGCGCAUAAGCGCACAGCAUCGCAUGAUGCAGUUUGAACAAGUCCGGUGGUAGAAGAUGGACCCCCGUUGGAUUAGCUAGUUGGUGAGGUAACGGCCCACCAAGGCGACGAUCCAUAGCUGACGUGAGAGGGUGACCGGCCACAUUGGGACUUAGACACGGCCCAAACUCCUACGGGAGGCAGCAGUGGGGAAUAUUGCACAAUGGGCGAAAGCCUGAUGCAGCGACGCCGCGUGAGCGAAGAAGUAUUUCGGUAUGUAAAGCUCUAUCAGCAGGGAAGAUAAUGACGGUACCUGACGAAUAAGCACCGGCUAAAUACGUG
This 481-nucleotide ribosomal RNA is filed under the name uncultured bacterium. RNAcentral describes it as "partial 16S ribosomal RNA". It matches the Rfam family "Bacterial small subunit ribosomal RNA", at positions 28 to 507 of the family's 1533-position model. The record is from RNAcentral.